This 253-nucleotide ribosomal RNA is filed under the name uncultured bacterium. RNAcentral's name for it is "partial 16S ribosomal RNA". It matches the Rfam family "Bacterial small subunit ribosomal RNA", at positions 524 to 776 of the family's 1533-position model. The record is from RNAcentral.
UACGGAGGGUGCAAGCGUUAUCCGGAUUCACUGGGUUUAAAGGGUGCGUAGGAGGGCAGGUAAGUCAGUGGUGAAAUCUUUGGGCUUAACCCGAAAACUGCCAUUGAUACUAUCUGUCUUGAAUAUUGUGGAGGUUUGCGGAAUAUGUCAUGUAGCGGUGAAAUGCUUAGAUAUGACAUAGAACACCUAUUGCGAAGGCAGCAAACUACGCAUAUAUUGACGCUGAGGCACGAAAGCGUGGGGAUCAAACAGG